Molecule: ribosomal RNA, 443 nt
Filed under: uncultured bacterium
Lineage: Bacteria
Description: partial 16S ribosomal RNA
Rfam family: Bacterial small subunit ribosomal RNA
Source: RNAcentral
GAUGAACGCUGGCGGCAUGCCUAACACAUGCAAGUCGAACGGUAAGGCUCUUCGGAGUACACGAGAUGCGGACGGCUGAGUAACGCGUAGGAACACACCCUGCAGUGAGGGAUAAGACACCGAAAGGUGUUCUAAUACCGCAUACGGUCUUCGGAUUAAAGCAGUUAUGCGCUGAAGGAGUGGCCUGUGUCAUAUUAGAUAGGUGGUGAGGUAAUGGCUCAACUAGUCGAUGAGGUGUAGCUGGUCUGAGAGGAUGCUCAGCCAGGCGGGAACUUAGACACGGUCCAGAAUCCUACGGGAGGCAGCAGUGAGGAAUAUUUCACAAUGAGCGAAAGCUUGAUGGAGCAAUGCCGCGUGCAGGAUGAAGGCCCUUGGGUUGUAAACUGCUUUUAUAAGAGAAGAUUAUGACGGUAACUUAUGAAUAAGGGACGGCUAACUACGUG